AGAACGAACGCUGGCGGCACGCCUAACACAUGCAAGUCGAGCGCCCAGCAAUGGGAGCGGCGGACGGGUGAGUAACACGUGGGAAUAUGCCUUUCGGUACGGAACAACUCAGGGAAACUUGAGCUAAUGCCGUAUACGCCCUUACGGGGAAAGAUUUAUCGCCGAAAGAUUAGCCCGCGUCUGAUUAGCUAGUUGGUGAGGUAAUGGCUCACCAAGGCUUCGAUCAGUAGCUGGUUUGAGAGAACGACCAGCCACACUGGGACUGAGACACGGCCCAGACUCCUACGGGAGGCAGCAGUGGGGAAUCUUGGACAAUGGGGGAAACCCUGAUCCAGCGAUGCCGCGUGAGUGAUGAAGGCCUUGGGUUGUAAACUCUUUCGACGGGACGAUAAUGACGGUACCCGUAGAAGAAGCUCCGGCUAACUUCGCGCCAGCAGCCGC
Molecule: ribosomal RNA, 441 nt
Filed under: uncultured bacterium
Lineage: Bacteria
Description: SSU rRNA
Rfam family: Bacterial small subunit ribosomal RNA
Source: RNAcentral